AAUUCUCAACUUCAUCACUUGUGUUGAAGCUUGGAUGUGGGGGUUGUGCAGAAUGCGUAACGGUGGUCUGCUCCCCUUAAAUGAAUUAGCGAGUUCAAACUGAGCUCUGUCUAUUGGUGUGAUAAUUAUCUACGCCGUGGAUUGGACUUAGACUUGCUUCUAAUCGUCCGCAAGGACAAUACUUUGACA
RNAcentral lists this unclassified non-coding RNA (189 nucleotides) under Psathyrella pygmaea. RNAcentral describes it as "partial internal transcribed spacer 2". Lineage: Eukaryota; Fungi; Basidiomycota; Agaricomycetes; Agaricales; Psathyrellaceae. The record is from RNAcentral.